Dermacentor albipictus is the source of this 2050-nucleotide long non-coding RNA. RefSeq lists it as uncharacterized. Lineage: Eukaryota; Metazoa; Arthropoda; Arachnida; Ixodida; Ixodidae. The record is from RefSeq and is a predicted model, not a curated record.
CAGGGGUAUGCGCCCCUGGAUAUAUGCCACUGGAUAGGCGCCGCUCCACAAUGAACCUGUUUCACGCCAACUUGGUCGCAGGUGUCACAAGUUGCGGCUGUCGGCCAUUCCAAUGCGGAAUGAAUUGGAGUUCGUGAAUGCCACGCCGAGCCACAGGCGGCACAGAAGAGUUGCUUCCGCUCGUGGUAACCCUGGUGGUAGGCGGAGUUGCAGACGUGGAUCCAAUCUGUGGAGACGUGCGUUCGUGAAUUCACUGGUGUUCCACAGAUUCUGCACUUCGACCAGAUCAAAACUAGAACAGCAGCAGUUCUAGGGAUCUGACUAAGCGUGCAACAAGCUACCACUGCCGUAAAACAAGCCCGCCAUUGAUUAUUACGCUCGUCGAAAGAAGUGCAGGUGGCGAACUUUGCAAGGCAGGAAUACUGCUUUGCCGGCGCUCGUGGUGACAUUCCUCGAGGUGCUGUUGUCGAAGUAGGGUGACGGCUCGGACGGGUCGGGAGCCCUCACGGACCUUCCGCCCCCGGAGCGCAGCCGGUUAUGUAACCAGACAUACAUGCCUCGCGAAAUUGCAUUUGACGGGCAGCCACGCACAAGGAGCGGCAGGAAGACAACGGUUAUUGCUCGCUGCAGGAGGAGCUAGUCUUGCUGAAGCCGCUGGCGAUUGCUCCGCUCCAGUGCUGCUUAGGAAGUCUGGCAGAAUCUGAAGCCGCGUCACAACACGUAGAAGAAAAGCUAACGGUACACUGUAAUCCUCUCGUGAGAGCAAGGUGGCGUGUCCCCGAUGCCAGUCACGCUCGUCCGCGCACUCUGCGGUUUGCAGGCCAAAACACUUGACAAGAAGAUUACAACUUCUUCCAAGCGAUGAUUGAAUGCUCUGUAGCUUGGUUGUGUUCCAAACUCUUCGGCUUCCUGGGCUAGUAAACAAAAAUUGUGCAAAUGAUCUUGGUUUAAGCCCUGCGGCUGCGCAUGUAUUUGACUUGAAUGUCCGAGCGGGUCGAUAUAUGAAUACCUGGAUACCACGCCCCAGCAAACAGAAAAAAACGAAGACAGAAAAGCAGAGGGGACGCGACGCAAACUCAUGGACCCAGUGAACUGGAUAGCGCGGAAGUGGACAGAGGCCAGGGGAGUCCACCACGGUGUUCGACUUUCUCAGCAACAGACACACAUACGUGGACACCGCAGGGGGGAGAAAAUGUGGCAGGUCCUAUACAGUCGAUCCACGAAUCGUGCACCACCUUCCCCCAGUCGGCUGCCGCCUCAUUUGGUGCAGAGGCGGCCUCGAAACGGCGUGACCGAAGGCCAUUAGUGACGCCACGGUCGCGUCUUUCUGGCGAGACGUGCGCGUAGAAAGGGAACUUCCUCGCCGCCUCAGUGCCGAAAGUCCGAAAAGCGAAUGAACGCAGCGCAUGCAGUGCAGUUUCCGCCCCGGUUAACCUCGCCUCCUGUUUCCUGGCUACGGCCGUGCGUGCAAAAUGAGUCGAAUAGCGAAGCGUGCGCUUAGAGACAGGGCCCGUGUAACCCUGUUGGCGUGCCGGAACAUAAGUUGAACCCUUUGUGGUCUUGAUGUGUCUAGACAAACGCAGUGAUACAUAUUGCUAAACGAGAAUGAGGCAUUCCGUGCCAGCCCCUGAUGUUAGGCAUUCAUUUUUAACGUUUCGAACGGAAAGAGAAUGGAAGUAACGAGGAACUCGCAUUAAUUAUUUGUUAGUAAUAAGAUUUAUUCGGGAGAAUAAACGACCUCGUAACAAACCAUUUUCUGCAUGGAGAGGCAAUAAUUAUGAGCACAUAUUCCUUUGCAUACACUAACUAUACUUUUCUUUGGUCACAAGGCAGAAAACAAACACAACAAACACGCCUCGAAUGUUUGUUACGACCGCAGUAUGCAAAACACUUCCUGUCAUGAUGCUUCGUCAUGUCUCCCAUGCGUCUCCUCAUGAAAGUGAACUAAAUUGUAUGACUGUUACACAUAUUCAUAUAACUAUUGUAGUUUAAAAUAUUUGUAGGUCCAACGCACUUAUUCGAAUCUAUGGGAAACAAAGCUUUAGUAAAA